UCUCCAUGAGAAAAUCUUCACAUAAUGAAGUCCAUACUGCAUAGAUUGAAAGUUUAUUAAUAUUAAAGGAGAGAUUUCAGAAGUUUAGGUAAGAAUAUAGGAGGAGAAUGAAACUGUGUCCCAUACCCUAUCCAUGAGCACAGGCCCAGGUGUACCUGGGAUGUGAGUGACAGAAGGUCCUGGUGCUCUAAGGAAAGAAUUAUAUGACCUAUACUCUAAGACAAACAAACAAACAACAACAACAAAACCCACACGCAGAGAAAACCCUAAAAAAGACCCUCCCACAGAUGAUU
Molecule: long non-coding RNA, 293 nt
Organism: Neopelma chrysocephalum (saffron-crested tyrant-manakin)
Lineage: Eukaryota; Metazoa; Chordata; Aves; Passeriformes; Pipridae
Exons: 3
Source: RefSeq, a predicted model, not a curated record